RNAcentral lists this ribosomal RNA (253 nucleotides) under uncultured bacterium. RNAcentral's name for it is "partial 16S ribosomal RNA". It matches the Rfam family "Bacterial small subunit ribosomal RNA", at positions 524 to 776 of the family's 1533-position model. The record is from RNAcentral.
UACGAAGGGUGCAAGCGUUAAUCGGAAUUACUGGGCGUAAAGCGCGCGUAGGUGGUUCAGUAAGUUGGAAGUGAAAUCCCCGGGCUCAACAUGGGAACUGCUUUCAAAACUGCUGAGCUAGAGUACGGUAGAGGGUGGUGGAAUUUCCUGUGUAGCGGUGAAAUGCGUAGAUAUAGGAAGGAACACCAGUGGCGAAGGCGACCACCUGGACUGAUACUGACACUGAGGUGCGAAAGCGUGGGGAGCAAACAGG